Molecule: long non-coding RNA, 407 nt
Organism: Vidua chalybeata
Lineage: Eukaryota; Metazoa; Chordata; Aves; Passeriformes; Viduidae
Exons: 3
Source: RefSeq, a predicted model, not a curated record
CACCUGGUUGGAGCAUCUCCUCAGUGGCACAGGAAACUGUCACUAGCUCUCUCAAUGCAUUUAGCAUUGCUUUGCAAGGGGUGCAGCAGUGGCUCUUCCAUUUGCAGGUUUUCCAAGGUUUCUUUGUGUGUCAGCUGCCUGACUGAAUGGCCUCCCUGACACCUGCAGAAAGAAAACACAGCUAAGAAAAACAAUGGAUGUCAUACUCUGUUUGACAAAAUAUGUGCUGGGCAGAGUCCAUCCUCUGUACUAGCAGAGUGAAUUUUACUCCUACCAAUCGCUCACUGUCACGAAGCUGAAGGAACCACUGUAAUGCUCUGCUUUAGGAAUAUGCUAAUGACAGGAAGAAAACAUACAUAUAAAAUAUUGCAAGCAUCAAGACAUGGAAGGAGAAGGUAAAUUUGGCU